RNAcentral lists this ribosomal RNA (253 nucleotides) under uncultured bacterium. RNAcentral describes it as "partial 16S ribosomal RNA". It matches the Rfam family "Bacterial small subunit ribosomal RNA", at positions 524 to 776 of the family's 1533-position model. The record is from RNAcentral.
UACGUAGGGUGCGAGCGUUGUCCGGAAUUAUUGGGCGUAAAGGGCUCGUAGGCGGUUUGUCACGUCGGGAGUGAAAACUCGGGGCUUAACCCCGAGCCUGCUUCCGAUACGGGCAGACUAGAGGUAUGCAGGGGAGAACGGAAUUCCUGGUGUAGCGGUGAAAUGCGCAGAUAUCAGGAGGAACACCGAUGGCGAAGGCAGGUCUCUGGGCAUUAACUGACGCUGAGGAGCGAAAGCAUGGGGAGCGAACAGG